CUCGUAGGUGGCCAACUAAGUCAGACGUGAAAUCCCUCGGCUUAACCGGGGAACUGCGUCUGAUACUGGAUGGCUUGAGUUUGGGAGAGGGACGCGGAAUUCCAGGUGUAGCGGUGAAAUGCGUAGAUAUCUGGAGGAACACCGGUGGCGAAGGCGGCGUCCUGGACCAAUACUGACACUGAGGAGCGAAAGCCAAGGGGAGCAAACGG
RNAcentral lists this ribosomal RNA (209 nucleotides) under uncultured bacterium. RNAcentral's name for it is "partial 16S ribosomal RNA". It matches the Rfam family "Bacterial small subunit ribosomal RNA", at positions 568 to 775 of the family's 1533-position model. The record is from RNAcentral.